RNAcentral lists this ribosomal RNA (505 nucleotides) under uncultured bacterium. RNAcentral's name for it is "partial 16S ribosomal RNA". It matches the Rfam family "Bacterial small subunit ribosomal RNA", at positions 28 to 507 of the family's 1533-position model. The record is from RNAcentral.
GACGAACGCUGGAGGCGUGCCUAAUACAUGCAAGUAGAACGCACAGUUUAUACCGUAGCUUGCUACACCAUAGACUGUGAGUUGCGAACGGGUGAGUAACGCGUAGGUAACCUGCCUGGUAGCGGGGGAUAACUAUUGGAAACGAUAGCUAAUACCGCAUAAUAUUGAUUAUUGCAUGAUAAUUGAUUGAAAGAUGCUAUUGCAUCACUACCAGAUGGACCUGCGUUGUAUUAGCUAGUAGGUGAGGUAACGGCUCACCUAGGCGACGAUACAUAGCCGACCUGAGAGGGUGAUCGGCCACACUGGGACUGAGACACGGCCCAGACUCCUACGGGAGGCAGCAGUAGGGAAUCUUCGGCAAUGGACGAAAGUCUGACCGAGCAACGCCGCGUGAGUGAAGAAGGUUUUCGGAUCGUAAAGCUCUGUUGUAAGAGAAGAACGGGUGUGAGAGUGGAAAGUUCACACUGUGACGGUAUCUUACCAGAAAGGGACGGCUAACUACGUG